Molecule: small nuclear RNA, 68 nt
Filed under: Mus pahari (shrew mouse)
Lineage: Eukaryota; Metazoa; Chordata; Mammalia; Rodentia; Muridae
Description: snRNA (MGP_PahariEiJ_G0033814.1)
Rfam family: U7 small nuclear RNA
About the family: Animal histone pre-mRNAs are spliced by a different mechanism than nuclear pre-mRNAs and self-splicing introns. This processing involves the U7 snRNP, which contains only one RNA species: U7.
Source: RNAcentral
CAGAGAGCUAUUACAGCGCUAUUAGAAUUUUUUCUAGUAGGUUUUUUGACUUUGGUCAGAAAACCCAA